This 450-nucleotide ribosomal RNA is filed under the name uncultured Spirochaetaceae bacterium. RNAcentral describes it as "bacterial SSU rRNA". It matches the Rfam family "Bacterial small subunit ribosomal RNA", at positions 354 to 796 of the family's 1533-position model. The record is from RNAcentral. Lineage: Bacteria; Pseudomonadati; Spirochaetota; Spirochaetia; Spirochaetales; Spirochaetaceae.
GCUAAGAAUAUUCCGCAAUGGAGGAAACUCUGACGGAGCGACGCCGCGUGGAUGAUGAAGGUCGGAAGAUUGUAAAAUCCUUUUAAGUAUGAUGAAUAACCUGAUCAGGAAAUGGGACAGGGAUGACCGUAAUACUUGAAUAAGCAACGGCUAAUUACGUGCCAGCAGCCGCGGUAACACGUAAGUUGCGAGCGUUGUUCGGAAUUAUUGGGCGUAAAGGGCAUGUAGGCGGUUUUGCAAGCUUGAUGUGAAAUGCCGGGGCUUAACUCCGGCACUGCGUUGAGAACUGCAUGACUAGAGUAACUGAGGGGCAGCCGGAAUUCCAGGUGUAGGGGUGAAAUCUGUAGAUAUCUGGAAGAACACCAAUGGCGAAGGCAGGCUACCAGCAGAUUACUGACGCUGAGGUGCGAAGGUGCGGGGAGCAAACAGGAUUAGAUACCCGAGUAGUCC